GCUGACUCACUCGCUGACCUUCCUGAGAAAGUCUGUCUGCUGCAAAAGCCAUCGUCGUCUCCUAAGGUCAGGUUCUACUCAAACUGCAGAUGAUGAAAAUUAUGACAUAUUUCAUCUGCUUUCCUUCAACAACCAUCCUCUGUGACAAGCAGGAACUGUCCUACUGUCCUACUGUCUUCCUAUGAUCUCUCCAUCUCCCCCUUCCUUACUUGGACAAUUAACUAUGGCAAUGAGUCCUGUUUUCUGCACCAGAUUCUUCUGCCGGGACUACAGGAUGUGCGUGAAUCAAAGACAGCCUGACCAGAUUGUGGAGAGAGGCACACCCAGCGACGGUCCUGCAGCUCUCCUUGGGAUUAAGGCAGCUACUGUUGGCAACGCUUCUUGUCUGUCUGAGGGACAAGGUGGGACUGGGGAUGGGGUUGGGCUAUGGACUCUGUUUACUAGCUGAAGGACCCAUACAUAGCCAGCUUCACGCCUAUUCUGAAAGUCUGUGUAUGCCUCCAAGGUACCUUAUGUUCCUGUCAAAUAUGUAGCUGAACUUGUGCACUUUUUUCACCCCAGAACAAUGCAGUAAAGUGCAAGGCCCUCCUGCAAUGCCCUGCCUGUUUCCACCACCUCCUUAGGGUGCUUGGAUUUACAGGUCAUGGAAAGCUAUCUACUCAAAAAGGGUUCUAGGUGCUCUUGGAAAAAUGAUAUAGAACUGCUUCAUAUGGCACACUGAAAUGAAAAUCCCUGGCCCUGCCAACUCACAGUCCUUGUCACAACCUGACAAGAAAGGCUGUCUUAUCACUAAAGAAUCUCUAUCGAAGACAUAGGGCAGAACUAACCAGCUAAAAUUUAGGUUUAUGGGGUAAACUUGCCUCGAUCCUACACUACACUAUUCUUGAGGGCACCUGCCAAAGAAGGUCUGUAAAAUAGAUGCAUCACAUACAUUGGAUAAGCCAUGCCUUUUAAGAGGCUCUUUGCAGUCACUAAAGCAGGCCAGCUCCGAUAACCAGCCCACAUGAGACAACGUUUGGAUGGCUAUGUGUAGUUCAGGUGGGUUUUACCUUUGGCUAAGGCUAAAUACAGCACGCAGUCACAGAUGCUGGCCAAAUCCAAACCCUGCUCUGAUCAGCAACCAUCCCCUCUGCUGUGCUUCCUAGAUAUAAACCUACCUAGGAUGGGCAAGAUUAAGUGAAGAAUUGCCCAGAUCAGGUACCAUCCUCUUCCAAGCUAACAAAAGGGAUCACUGCAUGUGGGCAAGUGAGCUGUACUACUACAAAGAGGUUCAAGUUGGGUUAGCAAAUUGCUUUUUCCAUCUGUACUAAUGGAACACACUGUUAUUUAGGGAAGUCUUCUGUGCUUUGGGAAAGCUCUAACUUGUUGCUAUAGGCACGUAAGGAUGCUGAGGAACAAAACAUGACAUUCUUACAACCUUUUUGGCUUGGCAUGUUUUGAAGGAGAAAAUAAAGAAUUCAAAAAUAGUUCCCA
Molecule: long non-coding RNA, 1473 nt
Filed under: Coturnix japonica (Japanese quail)
Lineage: Eukaryota; Metazoa; Chordata; Aves; Galliformes; Phasianidae
Description: lncRNA (ENSCJPG00005016986.1)
Source: RNAcentral